Molecule: ribosomal RNA, 380 nt
Filed under: uncultured bacterium
Lineage: Bacteria
Description: bacterial SSU rRNA
Rfam family: Bacterial small subunit ribosomal RNA
Source: RNAcentral
CGGUAAUACGUAGGGUGCAAGCGUUAAUCGGAAUUACUGGGCGUAAAGCGUGCGCAGGCGGUUUUGUAAGUCUGACGUGAAAUCCCCGGGCUUAACCUGGGAAUUGCGUUGGAGACUGCAAGGCUAGAAUCUGGCAGAGGGGGGUAGAAUUCCACGUGUAGCAAUGAAAUGCGUAGAGAUGUGGAGGAACACCGAUGGCGAAGGCAGCCCCCUGGGUCAAGAUUGACGCUCAUGCACGAAAGCGUGGGGAGCAAACAGGAUUAGAUACCCUGGUAGUCCACGCCCUAAACGAUGUCUACUAGUUGUCGGGUCUUAAUUGACUUGGUAACGCAGCUAACGCGUGAAGUAGACCGCCUGGGGAGUACGGUCGCAAGAUUAAA